GGUCGGGUGCCAGAGUGGUCUAAUGGAGCGGAUUGCAAAUCCGCGAUUCGUGGGUUCGAAUCCCACCCCGACCU
RNAcentral lists this transfer RNA (74 nucleotides) under Phycisphaerae bacterium. Its description in RNAcentral is "tRNA-Cys". It matches the Rfam family "tRNA". From Rfam's summary of the family: Transfer RNA (tRNA) molecules are approximately 80 nucleotides in length. Lineage: Bacteria; Pseudomonadati; Planctomycetota; Phycisphaerae. The record is from RNAcentral.